AUGGCGGAUGCAACUCUGUACAAGCAACGCCGCACGUACACCAGGGAGCUCCAUGACGUCGACCUCCACAGCAACCACAAGCUCCACGUCAUUUGCACAAGCAAGGGUGAAGACGUGGACAAGAUGUUGUCCACGCUCAAGAGGAAGCUCGGCGGAAUGCCCGUCAAACUAGUCGGCGUUGAUGUCGAGUACACGCCAAUGGAACUAGACAAAUUCCUCAUGAAUGGUGAGUACACCUUCGUCGGAUUCGCCAUUGAAGGAGACAAAAGCAAGCUGAAGCUAUCUGGUUUGGAGAUCAACUCCGACAACUACAUUGAUAUUCAGGUGGAAUGGAGAGACCCAUACAAUAAAAAGAAGUUUGACUCUUUGGCUGAUGUUGCCAGCAGGAUGAUCGACAUUCACUACCAUGACAUGAAGAAAAAAUUAACCGCAAGGAGGACCAUACUCUGUGGGGAUUUUGCCCGCUGCUAG
This 471-nucleotide ribosomal RNA is filed under the name Triticum aestivum (bread wheat). RNAcentral's name for it is "partial small subunit ribosomal RNA". The record is from RNAcentral. Lineage: Eukaryota; Viridiplantae; Streptophyta; Magnoliopsida; Poales; Poaceae.